AGUGAACGCUGGCGGUAGGCCUAACACAUGCAAGUCGAACGGCAGCACAGUAAGAGCUUGCUCUUACGGGUGGCGAGUGGCGGACGGGUGAGGAAUACAUCGGAAUCUACUUUUUCGUGGGGGAUAACGUAGGGAAACUUACGCUAAUACCGCAUACGACCUACGGGUGAUAGCAGGGGAUCUUCGGACCUUGCGCGAUUGAAUGAGCCGAUGUCGGAUUAGCUAGUUGGCGGGGUAAAGGCCCACCAAGGCGACGAUCCGUAGCUGGUCUGAGAGGAUGAUCAGCCACACUGGAACUGGGACACGGUCCAGACUCCUACGGGAGGCAGCAGUGGGGAAUAUUGGACAAUGGGCGCAAGCCUGAUCCAGCCAUACCGCGUGGGUGAAGAAGGCCUUCGGGUUGUAAAGCCCUUUUGUUGGGAAAGAAAAGCAGCAGGUUAAUACCCCGCUGUUCUGACGGUACCCAAAGAAUAAGCACCGGCUAACUUCGUG
This 492-nucleotide ribosomal RNA is filed under the name uncultured bacterium. RNAcentral's name for it is "partial 16S ribosomal RNA". It matches the Rfam family "Bacterial small subunit ribosomal RNA", at positions 29 to 507 of the family's 1533-position model. The record is from RNAcentral.